Long non-coding RNA from Cyprinus carpio carpio, 594 nucleotides. Lineage: Eukaryota; Metazoa; Chordata; Actinopteri; Cypriniformes; Cyprinidae. The record is from Ensembl.
GUGUUCUAUACAGAGACGCUAGAACUGCAUUUAUGAACAUGCAUACAUUCAUUAUUUGAAAUAAUUAUAGAAAGACGGUUAUAGGGCAUUUUGCUAACUAUGGAUUUAAUUCUCUGAAAUAGACUCAAUGAUUGGAAGAAACAGUAAGGAUUUAUUUUUUUUUUAACUCUGCUUGAGGAUGUAGGCCUAUAUGGAUUUACCCCACCUUCCAAUCAACAUCUCUUACUUGAUGACAACAGCUGAAAAGAUAAGAGAAAUGGAGGCAUACUUUCAUUAUUGCGUCGGCAGAUAAGAGCGUGAUUUAAUGGCUUGACCCUUAACCUCAGACAUAUGCAGUGCCGCUUCAUCUCUCUGCUCCAUCUUUAUCAGUCAGAGCUCAGCUGCUCUCACAAGACUGCCAGCUCAGAGAGGUAAAGUUCAAACGCUUUUCUGGAAGAGAUUAUGGAAACAUCUUUAUGUGUCAUGGAGAUGUGAUAAGCUCUCUGUCAGGGUGAGCUCUCGCUUUGCUCUCCGGCGGCCAUAGGUGCACUCCUGUGAUGCCGCAGUGGGCGAGUCUGGAGAUUUUAAGGGGAUCUGAAAAAUAAAUGAUUCUAG